This is a long non-coding RNA of Cimex lectularius (bed bug), 781 nucleotides long. RefSeq lists it as uncharacterized. The transcript has 4 exons. NCBI's taxonomy places the organism in Eukaryota, Metazoa, Arthropoda, Insecta, Hemiptera, Cimicidae. The record is from RefSeq and is a predicted model, not a curated record.
AAAUUUGGCCACACUUCGACCGUGGUUUAUCCAAUUUUACCGUAUAUUCUGAGCACCAAGUAUCCCGAGAAAAUGAAUAAAGUGUAAUAUCGUCAACAACAAUCAUGAGUAAUAAACAAGCUAAUGGCCGUAAGACGUAUCCUGGGGUACCACUGUUUGGCACUAAUCUUGGAAAAUGGUUCAUUCCAUUCACCGUUGAUCUCCCAAGCCUUACCACUAAAGAAUUAUGAGCAUUUCACAAACUUUUCGGCCGUUUAUUUCACUUUGAAGCACGUUUUCUGGCCGGCCUGAUCAGAUUUUUAUGGCCUUCGAACACAGACGAUUGGCAAUAAUGAAUCAGCAAAAAUCAUCAUCGGAUCAAACCUAUGAAGCUAUUUAGCUGUCGAAAUACGUCUGAGUAACACCAAGCAAACCAUAGACGGGCCAAACAUACGUGCCUAGCCGAUCGACUAAUUUCGCCUGAAAAAACACAUGUCCACGUGGUCAAAACCGCAAAAUGGUUUUUAGGCUGGAUACAUAUUUCCGUUGUCAUUAACGCCUCAUCGAUUACGAAUCACCUGGGAGUGCACAUGGUUCCAACCCACUAGGUUAGGUCAGAAAAGGUUAGGUUAAUAUGGUUAGUUUUAGGUUAAGGGCCAAUUUACAAUGCCAGCUAUGCGUUGCGAUAAAAGCUGAAAUCACAAAGAAAGUUUGUCACUGACUUUAUAUGCAACCUGUUUAACGCUGCAAGCGAAGCCAUGAGACUCCGUGGGAUGGAGUUGCUAUAAUCGUAAUGAUUUUA